CUGCGCCGCGUCUCCCUGUCUGAAAUCGGCUUCGGGAAGUUGGAGACCUACGUGAAACUGGACAAACUGGGAGAGGGCACCUACGCCACGGUGUACAG
Zonotrichia albicollis (white-throated sparrow) is the source of this 98-nucleotide non-coding RNA. NCBI's taxonomy places the organism in Eukaryota, Metazoa, Chordata, Aves, Passeriformes, Passerellidae. The record is from RefSeq and is a predicted model, not a curated record.